RNAcentral lists this ribosomal RNA (388 nucleotides) under uncultured bacterium. RNAcentral's name for it is "bacterial SSU rRNA". It matches the Rfam family "Bacterial small subunit ribosomal RNA", at positions 29 to 417 of the family's 1533-position model. The record is from RNAcentral.
AUUGAACGCUGGCGGCAUGCUUUACACAUGCAAGUCGAACGGUAACAGGGAGCUUGCUCCGCUGACGAGUGGCGAACGGGUGAGUAAUGCAUCGGAACGUACCCAGUCGUGGGGGGAUAACGUAGCGAAAGUUACGCUAAUACCGCAUACGUCCUGAGGGAGAAAGCGGGGGACCGUAAGGCCUCGCGCGAUUGGAGCGGCCGAUGUCGGAUUAGCUAGUUGGUAGGGUAAAGGCCUACCAAGGCGACGAUCCGUAGCGGGUCUGAGAGGAUGAUCCGCCACACUGGGACUGAGACACGGCCCAGACUCCUACGGGAGGCAGCAGUGGGGAAUUUUGGACAAUGGGCGCAAGCCUGAUCCAGCCAUGCCGCGUGCGGGAAGAAGGCCU